AUGGGUAGGGGACAUAGUAGCAACAAAGACUUCAACUGGGAUGAGCUUGGGGUGGAAACCCAUGACUUGCACGACCUGGGUAACACCAUCACAGAAGAUGAGGUAUGGGCGGCAAUAAAAGAAAUGCCUAGUGAUAAGGUGCCAGGUCCAAAUGGCUUCACGAGGAUCUUCUUCAAGAAGUGUUGGGGAAUCAUCAAUCAUACGGUCAUGAGGGUCAUCCAGCAUUUCGACUCCCUUCAAACCUCCAACCUGCAAUGGGUGAAUUCCGCCAAUGUUGUUCUAUUGCCCAAAAAGGAGAGCGCGGAAGACAUCUCUGAUUAUAGACCUAUCAGUCUCAUCCAUGCCCUAGCCAAAAUUAUUGCCAAGGUCUUGUCGCUUCGGCUUGCUCCUCUCAUGGAUGACCUUGUCUCCAACGCAUAGAGUGCUUUCAUCAAGAGGCAUAGUAUCCAUGAUAACUUCAUGUGCAUUCGGAAUUUUGCUAGGCGGUUACACAAGUGCAAGACCCCUGCUCUGCUCUUCAAGCUAGACAUAAGAAAGGCCUUUGACUCCGUUAAGUGGGAAUACAUUUUGGAUCUCCUCCAGCGUAUGGGUUUCUUGGACAAGUUCCACGCUUGGAUUGUCGCGCUGCUUUCCUCGUCUUCGUCUUGA
This 648-nucleotide ribosomal RNA is filed under the name Triticum aestivum (bread wheat). RNAcentral's name for it is "partial small subunit ribosomal RNA". Lineage: Eukaryota; Viridiplantae; Streptophyta; Magnoliopsida; Poales; Poaceae. The record is from RNAcentral.